GCUAUUGCCAACUCCAGGAGGCAGAGUUAAGUUUCUGUUACAGGGGGUGGCAUGUACCUUAACUCCGUAUUUCUGAGAUUUCAGACAUUUAGGUAUCUGUGACUGGAUUAACUGAAAGAGUAUGUAAAAGCAGAAGUGAUUUCUAAAAGUAGUGAAAAACAGCUCAGGAUUCUUGUGUUUGUGCGGUAAUUUAGACAGUGGAAGAGGAGCAAACCAUCAGCUCCCAACCAGCCAGCCCAUGACAACAUUUCCCAGUGAGAACAGGAACUGGGUAAUGGAUCGGCCUCUCCAGCCAGCAAAAGAAGCCAGAAAGCAGCCUUGACAUCUCCCUCCCACGGGAGCUGUUUUUAUGUAUUGCCAUCCUUAUGUGUAUAAAGACUUCAGUGCAUAAUCCUCCCGCUCCACCAAAAUGCUAGUAAAACAAACACUCACUUUCUCCAGUGA
Molecule: long non-coding RNA, 444 nt
Organism: Mauremys reevesii (Reeves's turtle)
Lineage: Eukaryota; Metazoa; Chordata; Testudines; Geoemydidae
Exons: 3
Source: RefSeq, a predicted model, not a curated record